AGCCGAGCGGUAGAGAUCUUCGGAUCUUUGAGAGCGGCGUACGGGUGCGGAACACGUGUGCAACCUACCUUUAUCAGGGGGAUAGCCUUUCGAAAGGAAGAUUAAUACCCCAUAAUAUAUUGAUUGGCAUCAGUUAAUAUUGAAAACUCCGGUGGAUAGAGAUGGGCACGCGCAAGAUUAGAUAGUUGGUAGGGUAACGGCCUACCAAGUCAGUGAUCUUUAGGGGGCCUGAGAGGGUGAUCCCCCACACUGGUACUGAGACACGGACCAGACUCCUACGGGAGGCAGCAGUGAGGAAUAUUGGACAAUGGGUGAGAGCCUGAUCCAGCCAUCCCGCGUGAAGGACGACGGCCCUAUGGGUUGUAAACUUCUUUUGUAUAGGGAUAAACCUUUCCACGUGUGGAAAGCUGAAGGUACUAUACGAAUAAGCACCGGCUAACUCCGUGCCAGCAGCCGCGGUAAUACGGAGGGUGCAAGCGUUAUCCGGAUUUAUUGGGUUUAAAGGGUCCGUAGGCGGAUCUGUAAGUCAGUGGUGAAAUCUCAUAGCUUAACUAUGAAACUGCCAUUGAUACUGCAGGUCUUGAGUAAAGUAGAAGUGGCUGGAAUAAGUAGUGUAGCGGUGAAAUGCAUAGAUAUUACUUAGAACACCAAUUGCGAAGGCAGGUCACUAUGUUUUAACUGACGCUGAUGG
RNAcentral lists this ribosomal RNA (691 nucleotides) under Chryseobacterium sp. T72.09.LHR.H.Kidney.D. RNAcentral's name for it is "bacterial SSU rRNA". It matches the Rfam family "Bacterial small subunit ribosomal RNA", at positions 60 to 752 of the family's 1533-position model. Lineage: Bacteria; Pseudomonadati; Bacteroidota; Flavobacteriia; Flavobacteriales; Weeksellaceae. The record is from RNAcentral.